This 561-nucleotide ribosomal RNA is filed under the name uncultured bacterium. RNAcentral describes it as "partial 16S ribosomal RNA". It matches the Rfam family "Bacterial small subunit ribosomal RNA", at positions 355 to 928 of the family's 1533-position model. The record is from RNAcentral.
UGGGGAAUAUUGCACAAUGGGCGAAAGCCUGAUGCAGCAACGCCGCGUGAGUGAUGAAGGCCUUCGGGUUGUAAAGCUCUGUCUUUUGGGACGAUAAUGACGGUACCAAAGGAGGAAGCCACGGCUAACUACGUGCCAGCAGCCGCGGUAAUACGUAGGUGGCAAGCGUUGUCCGGAUUUUACUGGGCGUAAAGGAUGCGUAGGCGGAUUUUUAAGUGAGAUGUGAAAUACCCGGGCUUAACUUGGGUGCUGCAUUUCAAACUGGGAAAAAUCUAGGUGCGGGAGAGGAGAAUGGAAUUCCUAGUGUAGCGGUGAAAUGCGUAGAGAUUAGGAAGAACACCAGUGGCGAAGGCGAUUCUCUGGACCGUAACUGACGCUGAGGCAUGAAAAGCGUGGGUAGCAAACAGGAUUAGAUACCCUGGUAGUCCACGCCGUAAACGAUGAGUACUAGGUGUAGGAGGUAUCGACCCCUUCUGUGCCGCAGUUAACACAAUAAGUACUCCGCCUGGGAAGUACGAUCGCAAGAUUAAAACUCAAAGGAAUUGACGGGGGUCAUAGCUG